CCUUGAUCGGAAGGCCUGGGUGGCAGGUACUUAAGAUAAGGAGCUAGAGGCUGAUGAGCAGUAUCCAGCUGAUUAAUCUUCAAAUCCUCGAGAUCCCAGGACAAUGCAGGAGGAUUUUGCGACCGAAUGGAAGAUCACAAAUGUAAACAGAGUUCAGAAUUGAGAAUGAAGAAACAUUGAAUGAAGGCUCAAAUCAGUAAAGUGAUGGAAGGGGUCGUCAUCUGUGCUAUCAAGUGGCACUUGCUUAGCAGUAACCUGCUCAUUGUCGCCCAGUUUGGGUUCCGCCAAAGCCACUCAGCU
Carcharodon carcharias (great white shark) is the source of this 300-nucleotide long non-coding RNA. RefSeq lists it as uncharacterized. The transcript is spliced from 3 exons. Lineage: Eukaryota; Metazoa; Chordata; Chondrichthyes; Lamniformes; Lamnidae. The record is from RefSeq and is a predicted model, not a curated record.